RNAcentral lists this long non-coding RNA (528 nucleotides) under Meleagris gallopavo (turkey). RNAcentral's name for it is "lncRNA (ENSMGAG00000021469.1)". The record is from RNAcentral. Lineage: Eukaryota; Metazoa; Chordata; Aves; Galliformes; Phasianidae.
AUGCUGGCAAACCGGAGUUGGGGAAGUGGAGCUUCACGAUUACACACGAGUUCAUUAGAAAUAGCACUUCGUGGCCUGCGCGAGGAGAGCCCUCAGAAGCCGCUCUGGAUGCGCGUUCCUCGGCCAGGAGCCGCCAACCCCGCACCCUGCAGAGCCCCGACGCUCUGCAGAGCAGAGGGAACGGGGCGCUGCUCUCCCGCAGCUGCGGUGGAGUUACCGGAGCUCCGACGGGGAAAUCUUUACGAUUAUUCAGGCGUGGGCCCAAUAUCGGCAGUCACCAUCCUGCUGCUCCCACUGCCCGAACGCACCGGGACGGCUUCCCAGAGGAUAAAUGUCACCGCGAGCUGCAGCAGCAGAAGCCGGGGGCGCGGGCGGCCAGGUAAUAGCAAGACUAAAACAACUGGGGGGAAAAGGGGGCAGCAGCCGCUGAGCGACAGAAAUGUGGGGGGAAAAGGCUUGAGAACGCACCUGGCAGGAAGAUUUCAGAAACCCAACGGAGGGGCUGCGUUAACAGACGAGCCUGUUUGA